Molecule: ribosomal RNA, 510 nt
Filed under: uncultured bacterium
Lineage: Bacteria
Description: partial 16S ribosomal RNA
Rfam family: Bacterial small subunit ribosomal RNA
Source: RNAcentral
GACGAACGCUGGCGGCGUGCUUAACACAUGCAAGUCGAACGAAGAGCGAUGGAAGCUUGCUUCUAUCAAUCUUAGUGGCGAACGGGUGAGUAACGCGUAAUCAACCUGCCCUUCAGAGGGGGACAACAGUUGGAAGCGACUGCUAAUACCGCAUACGAUCUAACCUCGGCAUCGAGGAAAGAUGAAAGGUGGCCUCUAUGUAUAAGCUAUCACUGAAGGAGGGGAUUGCGUCUGAUUAGCUAGUUGGAGGGGUAACGGCCCACCAAGGCGAUGAUCAGUAGCCGGUCUGAGAGGAUGAACGGCCACAUUGGGACUGAGACACGGCCCAGACUCCUACGGGAGGCAGCAGUGGGGAAUCUUCCGCAAUGGACGAAAGUCCGACGGAGCAACGCCGCGUGAGUGAUGACGGCCUUCGGGUUGUAAAGCUCUGUUAAUCGGGACGAAAGGCCUUCUUGCGAAUAGUGAGAAGGAUUGACGGUACCGGAAUAGAAAGCCACGGCUAACUACGUG